UACGUAGGGGGCAAGCGUUGUCCGGAUUUAUUGGGCGUAAAGAGCGUGUAGGCGGCUUGGUAGGUCCGCUGUGAAAACUCGAGGCUCAACCUCGAGAUGUCGGCGGAAACCACUUGGCUAGAGUCCGGAAGAGGAGAGUGGAAUUCCCGGUGUAGCGGUGAAAUGCGCAGAUAUCAGGAGGAACACCGGUGGCGAAGGCGGGUCUCUGGACAGUUCCUGACGCUGAGGCACGAAGGCCAGGGGAGCAAACGGG
Molecule: ribosomal RNA, 253 nt
Filed under: uncultured bacterium
Lineage: Bacteria
Description: partial 16S ribosomal RNA
Rfam family: Bacterial small subunit ribosomal RNA
Source: RNAcentral